GCCGCGUGAUCGCCGACUCGACAGUCGAGCGGCGAGCGGCAGUGGGGGGACAGUGGGCGUCGCUUCAAGAAUCGGCUCGAAAUGAGCAACUAACUCCGAGCACUGACUUAGACUAUCGAUAUUAGUCGACGCUACUCAAACUCGACUAGUAAUUGAUAAGAAAUAUGUAUGAGAUAAUAUGUAAUUUCUGUCUCAAAUAUUUUCUCCAUUGCGCAGCCUAAGAGUGAAAAUGAAUUGCACAGAUACCUUCAUUCGAUGUGUCGCCAUAAAAUUUACGUGCUUUAAUAAACCUUUUUUUCGGAAUAUUCUCUUUUUCUUCCUAUAGGACAAUAUUGUAUCAUCUGACGUAGACAUUUGGGCUACUGCUUGUUCAACUGACCGUGCAUUUGAAUAUUUGGCUUCUGGCGACUCGAUGGUGUCAAUAUCUUAUCAAUACUUAUUAGGAUGUACAACAGUAAGCAAUAUUAUAUCUGAAACAUGCGAAGUAAUUUGGAAUGAGUUAUGCCCAAUUGUCCUUCCACCUUCUUUAUCGAAAAAAGAUUGAAAAAAUAUUGCAGCAGACUUUGAUCAACGAUGCGAUUUCCCUCACUGUAUCGGUGCUAUUGAUGGAAAACACAUUGUUAUUCAAUGCCCUAAUAAUGCUGGUUCCAUGUAUUACAAUUAUAAACACAGCCAUAGUAUCGUUUUAAUGGCAGUAUGCGAUGCUAACUAUAUGUUUACAUUUGUUGACAUUGGAGCCUAUGGUAGACGCAGCGAUGGUGGAAUUUUUAAAGAAUACCAAUUUGGCAAAAAAUUUGAACAAAAUAAAAUGAACGUACCAGAAGCAGAGGAUAUUUCUAGAAAUGGUCCCAAAUUGCCGUAUUGCCUUGUUGGAGAUGAAGCAUUUCCUUUAAAAGAAUAUUUGCUUCGACCAUACUCAGGAAGGGGCGGGCUGACUGAAGAAAAAAAUAUAUUCAAUUAUUGACUAAGUCGUGCCAGACGAGUGAUUGAAAAUACAUUUGGUAUUCUUGCCUGUCAAUGGCGAAUACUGAGAAAGCCAAUAAUUGGCAAAGUAGAAACUGUUGAAAGAAUUGUGCAAAGCAUUGUGUGUUUGCAUAAUUGGUUACGAAAACAGGACAUAAACAAAAAUGAAUACAUAACUACAAGUAUGAUCGAUCAUGAUGGUCCUAAUGGUUUUACACCUGGUUCUUGGAGAAUGGUAGUUGAAAAUGGUUCUGCUUAUCGUGAGGUACAAAGAGCAGGGGCAUAUAUGAGUACUCAGAAAAGUAUGGAAGUGCGAGAAAAUUUUAGCGAAUAUUUUAAUAAUGACGGAUCUGUAAUCCAUGGCAAGAUGAUUAUGUUUAAUUGUAAAAUACACAAAGUAAUUUGUUAGUAGAUAUAAAAAAUUUAAUAGGAUUUUCUUAGUUCAUUUUUAAUUAGUUUUUAUUUUAUUAGCUUAUUUUAUAAAAAAAAAAGAUUCUAUGUAGACCCAAAUGUAUGUUUCAUAUUCUUUUUAUAUUAUUCAUUUUCUAUAAAUGUUAAAAUAAAUGACUUCGAUAAAA
This is a long non-coding RNA of Solenopsis invicta (red fire ant), 1541 nucleotides long. RefSeq lists it as uncharacterized. The record is from RefSeq and is a predicted model, not a curated record. Lineage: Eukaryota; Metazoa; Arthropoda; Insecta; Hymenoptera; Formicidae. The transcript is spliced from 3 exons.